ACAGCAGUCGCCACGGUAAUACGGAGGGUGCAAGCGUUAUCCGGAUUUAUUGUGUUUAAAGGGUCCGUAGGCGGAUCUGUAAGUCAGUGGUGAAAUCUCACAGCUUAACUGUGAAACUGCCAUUGAUACUGCAGGUCUUGAGUAAAUUUGAAGUGGCUGGAAUAAGUAGUGUAGCGGUGAAAUGCAUAGAUAUUACUUAUAACACCAAUUGCGAAGGCAGGUCACUAAGAUUUAACUGACGCUGAUGGACGAAAGCGUGGGGAGCGAACAGGAUUAGAUACCCGAGUAGUCCCUGUCUCUUAUAC
This 305-nucleotide ribosomal RNA is filed under the name uncultured bacterium. RNAcentral describes it as "partial 16S ribosomal RNA". It matches the Rfam family "Bacterial small subunit ribosomal RNA", at positions 505 to 807 of the family's 1533-position model. The record is from RNAcentral.